GAUGAACGCUGGCGGCGUGCCUAAUACAUGCAAGUCGAGCGAACAGACGAGGAGCUUGCUCCUCUGACGUUAGCGGCGGACGGGUGAGUAACACGUGGAUAACCUACCUAUAAGACUGGGAUAACUUCGGGAAACCGGAGCUAAUACCGGAUAAUAUAUUGAACCGCAUGGUUCAAUAGUGAAAGACGGUUUUGCUGUCACUUAUAGAUGGAUCCGCGCCGCAUUAGCUAGUUGGUAAGGUAACGGCUUACCAAGGCAACGAUGCGUAGCCGACCUGAGAGGGUGAUCGGCCCCCCUGGAACUGAGACACGGUCCAGACUCCUACGGGAGGCAGCAGUAGGGAAUCUUCCGCAAUGGGCGAAAGCUUGACGGAGCAACGCCGCGUUAGUGAUGAAGGUCUUCGGAUCGUAAAACUCUGUUAUUAGGGAAGAACAAAUGUGUAAGUAACUAUGCACGUCUUGACGGUACCUAAUCAGAAAGCCACGGCUAACUACGUGC
This 498-nucleotide ribosomal RNA is filed under the name uncultured bacterium. RNAcentral's name for it is "partial 16S ribosomal RNA". It matches the Rfam family "Bacterial small subunit ribosomal RNA", at positions 28 to 508 of the family's 1533-position model. The record is from RNAcentral.